CCCCUCCAUAUCCUGGGCUGCACGCGGGUUACAAUAGAGGGGAGGACUGGGUAGGCCCGCGCUUUUUUGGUGUGGGUGUCUGCGAUGGCGAAAGCCAAGAGCAAACCCUUGAACCCCUGAAGAAAAGAAGCUUUGUGCUUUGGAUUGGACUUUGGAACCAAGUCCAUGAAAUAGGAAUGCCUUGUCGUCAUGCGUCAUGAACGUGUGGCGAAUAAGUCCCUGCCUUUUGUACACACCGCCCGUCGCUUCAACUGAUUUUGAUAGCAUUGAGGUGCGCGGACUUCUUCUUUGAGGGAGAAAGCGUAACGACAUGUUGUUAAGAGAGGAUGAAGAANUCGUANCA
RNAcentral lists this ribosomal RNA (343 nucleotides) under uncultured eukaryote. RNAcentral describes it as "partial 18S ribosomal RNA". It matches the Rfam family "Eukaryotic small subunit ribosomal RNA", at positions 1470 to 1796 of the family's 1831-position model. The record is from RNAcentral.